Molecule: ribosomal RNA, 239 nt
Filed under: uncultured bacterium
Lineage: Bacteria
Description: partial 16S ribosomal RNA
Rfam family: Bacterial small subunit ribosomal RNA
Source: RNAcentral
UACGUAGGGGGCAAGCGUUGUCCGGAAUCAUUGGGCGUAAAGAGCGCGUAGGCGGUCCGGUAAGUCCGCUGUGAAAGUCGGGGGCUCAACCCUCGAAUGCCGGUGGAUACUGUCGGGCUAGAGUCCGGAAGAGGCGAGUGGAAUUCCUGGUGUAGUCGGUGAAAUGCGUAGAUAUCUGGAGGAAUACCGGUGGCGAAGGCGGCCUUCUGGACGAGUGACUGCACGCUGAGACGCGAAAG